GGCGUGUACUGCUCUGCUGGGCCUUACCUCUUGGUGAGCCGGCGUGGCCUUAACUGGUUGCGUCGGGGAACCAGGACUUUUACCUUGAGAAAAUUAGAGUGUUCAAAGCAGGCCUAUGCCUGAAUACAUUAGCAUGGAAUAAUAAAAUAGGACGUGCGGUUCUAUUUUGUUGGUUUCUAGAGUCGCCGUAAUGAUUAAUAGGGAUAGUUGGGGGCAUUGGUAUUGAGUCGCUAGAGGUGAAAUUCUUGGAUUGACUCAAGACCGACUACUGCGAAAGCAUUUGCCAAGGAUGUUUUCAUUAAUCAAGGACGAAGGUUAGGGGAUCGAAAACGAUCAGAUACCGUUGUAGUCUUAACAGUAAACUAUGCCGACUAGGGAUCGGGCGACCUCAAAUUUGAUGUGUCGCUCGGCACCUUACGAGAAAUCAAAGUUUUUGGGUUCUGGGGGGAGUAUGGUCGCAAGGCUGAAACUUAAAGGAAUUGACGGAAGGGCACCACCAGGUGUGGAGCCUGCGGCUUAAUUUGACUCAACACGGGGAAACUCACCAGGUCCAGACAUAACUAGGAUUGACAGAUUGAUAGCUCUUUCAUGAUUUUAUGGGUGGUGGUGCAUGGCCGUUCUUAGUUGGUGGAGUGAUUUGUCUGGUUAAUUCCGAUAACGAACGAGGCCUUAACCUGCUAAAUAGCCAGGCCGGCUUCUGCUGGUCGCAGGCUUCUUAGAGGGACUGUCAG
Molecule: ribosomal RNA, 731 nt
Filed under: uncultured eukaryote
Lineage: Eukaryota
Description: SSU rRNA
Rfam family: Eukaryotic small subunit ribosomal RNA
Source: RNAcentral